AUUGAUGUGCCCGAAUGGUUAGGGAGCUGACUGUAAAUCAGUGACAUUAGUCUAUAUAGGUUCAAAUCCUAUCAUCAACA
Molecule: transfer RNA, 80 nt
Filed under: Homolaphlyctis polyrhiza JEL 142
Lineage: Eukaryota; Fungi; Chytridiomycota; Chytridiomycetes; Rhizophydiales
Description: tRNA-Tyr (GTA) (tRNA-Tyr-GTA-3-1)
Rfam family: tRNA
About the family: Transfer RNA (tRNA) molecules are approximately 80 nucleotides in length. Their secondary structure includes four short double-helical elements and three loops (D, anti-codon, and T loops).
Source: RNAcentral